UUUCUGUGAUGAAUCAAACCAGCUCACCAUGACUGCCAAUGAGAACACAUGAACGAACACCUNAGAAAC
RNAcentral lists this small nucleolar RNA (69 nucleotides) under Neotoma lepida (desert woodrat). Lineage: Eukaryota; Metazoa; Chordata; Mammalia; Rodentia; Cricetidae. The record is from RNAcentral.